This 227-nucleotide ribosomal RNA is filed under the name uncultured bacterium. RNAcentral describes it as "partial 16S ribosomal RNA". It matches the Rfam family "Bacterial small subunit ribosomal RNA", at positions 524 to 751 of the family's 1533-position model. The record is from RNAcentral.
UACGAGUGCCCCAAGCGUUAUCCGGAAUUAUUGGGCGUAAAGGGUGUGUAGGUGGUUUUGUUAGUCUUCUGUUAAAGCUCCCGGCUUAACCGGGAAAGUGCAGAGGAAACGGCAAGACUAGAGGAUGUGAGGGGUCUAUGGAACUCAUGGUGUAGGGGUGAAAUCCGUUGAUAUCAUGGGAACACCAAAAGCGAAGGCAAUAGACUGGCGCAUUCCUGACACUGAAA